Long non-coding RNA from Pyrus x bretschneideri (Chinese white pear), 867 nucleotides. RefSeq lists it as uncharacterized. The transcript has 2 exons. NCBI's taxonomy places the organism in Eukaryota, Viridiplantae, Streptophyta, Magnoliopsida, Rosales, Rosaceae. The record is from RefSeq and is a predicted model, not a curated record.
UUCCAAAGGUGGAUGGAGCAAAUUCGGUGAAUCAUCUUCGCUCUAUUUCAUCAGCCAAUUUUUCACUUAAAAUUAUCACUACAAUUUUAGUAGAUUGUCUAAGCCCUACUUCUGCUCAUAUUGUCUCCCCACAAUGUUUUCACAACAGGACGAUCUAUUGUGGAUCCCAUCAUCUCACUUUUGAAUGCAUGAACCUCCUCGAUAGAUGUUGUAAAGGGAAGGAAAUUGUUUAGCGGAUGCUUUUGCUAAUGUUGGCGCAGUGAAUAGUAGUUUUACAUGGUGGGACUUGGUACCUGAUUUUGAUGCGACGUCAUAUAGAAGAGACUGUGUCGAGCUUCCAAUCUUCCAUUCAAGAUCACGAGGAGCAAAUUAUUAAUGAGAAGGUGGUGAUAGGCAAUGAAAUAUGAGCAACAUAACUAUGGAAAAACAAUUUCAGGUGAUUGAACCUGAAGAAUUCUUAAACUAGAACUUAUCGUUUUGUUAAUUGUUUUUAAUGGGUAUUGGCCUGUCCCCCCAACUUAUUUAACUUCUCGUUUUUUUUAUUAAUAAAAUCUAGUAGAUGGAGGACGGGCAGAGGGUUUAUAGGUGCAACGGUCCUUUCUCCUUCGAGAAAGGGUUGGUGUCUCACACAUGAUUAUUGACGAAGAGGUAAUCUCGUCUAAUCCAUCUUUGCAAAUUAUUAAUUAAAAACAAAGUUGCAAGUCCUUCUUAAUUUGUACCAAUAUUUCAUGAUAAUAACAAAUUCGUCAUCCAAACAAAAUUAAGACUUUGUUAAACCAAGGAAGAACCAAGAUUAAAUGUUCAGAAUGUAUUUAACUUUACUUUUUAGAAGCCCAUGGCUUUAAUAGUAUCAGAAUUUGAGUUUCU